GAUGAACGCUGGCGGCGCGCCUAACACAUGCAAGUCGAACGAUUAAAGCACCUUCGGGUGUGUAUAAAGUGGCGAACGGCUGAGUAACACGUGGGCAACCUGCCCCUCUCAUUGGGAUAGCCACGGGAAACCGUGGAUAAUACCGAAUACUUCGGGACUUCCGCAUGGAAGACUCGAGAAAGCUCCGGCGGAGAGGGAUGGGCCCGCGGCCUGUUAGCUUGUUGGUGGGGUAAUGGCCUACCAAGGCAAUGAUGGGUAGCUGGGUUGAGAGACCGACCAGCCAGAUUGGGACUGGGGCACGGCCCCGAAUCCUACGGGAAGCAGCAGUGGGGAAUCUUGCACAAUGGGCGGAAGCCUGAUGCAGCGACGCCGCGUGCGGGAUGAAGGCCUUCGGGUUGGAAACCGCUUUCAGCAGGGACGGGGCGAAAGUGACGGUACCUGCAGAAGAAGGCCCGGCUAACUACGUG
This 467-nucleotide ribosomal RNA is filed under the name uncultured bacterium. Its description in RNAcentral is "partial 16S ribosomal RNA". It matches the Rfam family "Bacterial small subunit ribosomal RNA", at positions 28 to 507 of the family's 1533-position model. The record is from RNAcentral.